Hevea brasiliensis (rubber tree) is the source of this 2528-nucleotide RNA transcript. RefSeq lists it as uncharacterized. The transcript is spliced from 5 exons. Lineage: Eukaryota; Viridiplantae; Streptophyta; Magnoliopsida; Malpighiales; Euphorbiaceae. The record is from RefSeq and is a predicted model, not a curated record.
UUAGGUCUAAGCAUGCGAUCAAUACUGACUAAGAAAAGCCGGCCCAACAUUGGAAGAUAAGUAUAAAUCUACGUUGAAUGAAAUGUUGCAGUUUCAGUUGAUCGUCCGGGGACAACACAUAACAGACAGAGGAAAACGCCGUGCACAGUGUGUUCUAAAAAGUCUACGAAGUCAUAGCGUCUCUUUAUCUGACAAGAACAAGAAUUCAUGUCGAUCGCCGCACGCACUUGCCCGAAACCGUAGCCGUAGAUGGCGUCACAGCCGCACCGGCACCGCUGUGGUUGUGGUGGCGGCACUUCUCAUUUCGACCACCGCCUGGCUCUCUCUCGUAUUCUCCGGCGCCACCGUCCGUUGCUGGCACCGUUUUAGGAAUUGGGAAGGCAGCCCCCGGACACUAUCCUGGAAGAAGCGACCUUCCACCACCACUACCAAAUCGUUUGAUCGCCGCCUACCUAUUGUGCCACCGACCAGUCAGUUCUUGUCCCGUCGUCCUUCAUUCCAAUCGGGCCGCAAUCGCAGCCUUUCGGAGGAGAAGCAUAAGGGAAAUGAACUGUCACUGAAGCACAUCAUGUUUGGCAUAGCGGGAUCCUCGCAGCUAUGGGAACGGCGCAAGGAGUUCGUGAGGCUGUGGUGGCGACCAAACGACAUGAGGGGCUACGUCUGGCUUGAAGAGCACGUGGCUAAACUGGAUUGGGACGAUUCCUUACCCCCUAUCAUGAUUUCCGAGGACACCUCCCGCUUCCGGUACACCAAUCCUACAGGUCACCCUUCCGGUCUCCGGAUCUCCCGUAUUAUCUCCGAGAGUCUUCGCCUGGGAUUGUCCGAUGUUCGGUGGUUCGUUCUGGGCGACGAUGAUACCAUUUUCAAUGCGGACAAUCUGGUUACUGUUCUCGGCAAGUAUGACUCCUCUGAGAUGGUCUACAUCGGUGCUCCUUCUGAAAGCCACUCUGCCAACACCUAUUUCAGUCACUCUAUGGCCUAUGGAGGUGGGGGAAUUGCCAUAAGUUAUCCACUGGCCGAGGCUCUUUCCAACAUUUUGGAUGACUGUCUCGAGAGAUAUCAUAAACUCUAUGGAAGUGAUGAUCGGCUCCACGCCUGUAUUUCUGAGCUCGGCAUUCCUUUGUCCAGAGAACAAGGGUUCCACCAGUGGGAUAUUAGAGGUAAUGCACAUGGUCUUCUGUCCUCUCAUCCGAUUGCACCCUUUGUAUCCAUUCAUCAUGUUGAAGCUGUCGAUCCUUUUUAUCCUGGCAUGAGCUCUUUGGAUAGCUUGAAACUCUUCACCAAAGCCAUGACUGCUGACCCCUUAAGCUUUUUGCAGCGAUCAAUCUGUUAUGACCAUGCAUACCACCUAACUUUUUCUGUCUCACUUGGUUAUGUCAUUCAAGUGUUUCCAAACACUGUUCUUCCCCGAAUACUUGAGCGCUCAGAAAACACCUACUCUGCUUGGAAUGGGAUUAGACAUGGGCAUGAAUUUGAUUUGGACACCAGGGAUCCUCACAAACCUAUUUGUAAAAGGCCCAUACUCUUUUUCUUAAAAGAUAUAGCUAGAGAAGGCAACACUACGCUUGGUUCAUAUGUGAGGGCCAGAAUGAAAGAUGAUUUGAAAAGAAAAGUUUUCUGCUUUCCACGCUCUCCUCCUCUGCCUUAUGUGGAAAAUAUUCAGGUGUUGGGGUAUCCUGCAACAAAGAAUUGGCAUUUGGUUCCACGACGUCUUUGUUGCAAACUGAAUCGAUCAAGUGAUGAACAACUUACAAUAUCAGUUGGGCAGUGUGGGAUGGGAUCUUUGGGUUCUUUUAUUGAUUCUGUUUGAAUGUGGGUGGCUGGUGGCUUUCAUUUUACUUUCUAUUCUUAUCUUGGAGAUGAAUAUGCAGUUGAAGAAGGGCCUUCACAGUAUACUCCUUUAAAUUAUUUGGCAUCAUUGAUUUGACUUCUUGGAAUGGCUGUUCAUCGACUGACAUCAGGCAUUUUGAAAACCAUGCUAACAGAUUGCAGAUAUUAUAGUCCUUUAUUGUACACAGUUGAGUUAAGAUGAGCUUGUGAACCUUCACCGCAUGGAUUAAAUUCUUUGCCUCCCUUUUUGUUCAGAAGUUGGUGUUGAUCCAGGAUCACCUUAUUCCGUUGCAUUGCUGACGUUUGAAGUUUCUGAACUGUGAUCAUGUAAAUCUUCCAAGUUCCAGCGGUAUUGACCAGAUGUACAAUGCAACUGCACUGUUAUUUUGGUGAGAUUGAGACAUCCACUACUAUUAUGACGUGAAGCAAAAUUUUCAAAGUUGUGAUCAUCAUUCCCUUCGGAAUCUUGUGAUUUUCCUGCUCAGGAAAAUGAAAAUCUCCUCUUUAUAUAUCAUUCCUCUGCUUGUCCUGUAGCUGAAGAUUUUGCAGUAAGGUGAAAAAGGAGCUCAACUGUUGGCGUAGAGGUCUGUAGGCUGAAAUCUACGGAUUCGAAAACACUUCAUUUCGUAGCCAAACGUCCAUAGAAUUAAUCUUUAAUCUUAUGCUGUUAUAAUUCAGGUUAUCGAUUGAAGCGAUUU